Molecule: ribosomal RNA, 429 nt
Filed under: Actinomycetes bacterium
Lineage: Bacteria; Bacillati; Actinomycetota; Actinomycetes
Description: Actinobacteria bacterium partial 16S ribosomal RNA
Rfam family: Bacterial small subunit ribosomal RNA
Source: RNAcentral
UAGGGAAUCUUCCGCAAUGGGCGAAAGCCUGACGGAGCAACGCCGCGUGAGUGAUGAAGGUCUUCGGAUCGUAAAACUCUGUUAUUAGGGAAGAACAAAUGUGUAAGUAACUAUGCACGUCUUGACGGUACCUAAUCAGAAAGCCACGGCUAACUACGUGCCAGCAGCCGCGGUAAUACGUAGGUGGCAAGCGUUAUCCGGAAGUAUUGGGCGUAAAGCGGGCGUAGGCGGUUUUUUAAGUCUGAUGUGAAAGCCCACGGCUCAACCGUGGAGGGUCAUUGGAAACUGGAAAACUUGAGUGCAGAAGAGGAAAGUGGAAUUCCAUGUGUAGCGGUGAAAUGCGCAGAGAUAUGGAGGAACACCAGUGGCGAAGGCGACUUUCUGGUCUGUAACUGACGCUGAUGUGCGAAAGCGUGGGGAUCAAACAGG